GCCGUGGUGGUGCAAUGGUAAAGCACUCAGCUGCUAACUGAAAGGCUGGUGGUUGAAACCCACCCAGUGGCU
Molecule: transfer RNA, 72 nt
Filed under: Loxodonta africana (African savanna elephant)
Lineage: Eukaryota; Metazoa; Chordata; Mammalia; Proboscidea; Elephantidae
Rfam family: tRNA
About the family: Transfer RNA (tRNA) molecules are approximately 80 nucleotides in length.
Source: Rfam by way of RNAcentral